CCUACAGAAGAAGCACCGGCUAACUCCGUGCCAGCAGCCGCGGUAAUACGGAGGGGUGCGAGCGUUAAUCGGAAUUACUGGGCGUAAAGCGCAUGCAGGCGGCCUGUUAAGUCAGAUGUGAAAGACCCCGGGCUUAACCUCGGAAUUGCAUUUGAAACUGGCAGGCUAGAGUCUUGUAGAGGGGGGUAGGAAUUUCAGGUGUAGCGGUGAAAUGCGUAGAGAUCUGAAGGAAUACCAGUGGCGAAGGCGGCCCCCUGGACAAAGACUGACGCUCAGAUGCGAAAGCGUGGGGAGCAAACAGGAUUAGAUACCCUGGUAG
This 319-nucleotide ribosomal RNA is filed under the name uncultured bacterium. RNAcentral describes it as "bacterial SSU rRNA". It matches the Rfam family "Bacterial small subunit ribosomal RNA", at positions 478 to 793 of the family's 1533-position model. The record is from RNAcentral.